UACCCGUAGAUCCGACUGUGGG
Molecule: microRNA, 22 nt
Filed under: Nasonia giraulti
Lineage: Eukaryota; Metazoa; Arthropoda; Insecta; Hymenoptera; Pteromalidae
Description: ngi-miR-100
Gene: ngi-miR-100
Source: miRBase by way of RNAcentral